RNAcentral lists this ribosomal RNA (285 nucleotides) under uncultured bacterium. Its description in RNAcentral is "partial 16S ribosomal RNA". It matches the Rfam family "Bacterial small subunit ribosomal RNA", at positions 334 to 616 of the family's 1533-position model. The record is from RNAcentral.
GCCUCCUACGGGGGGCAGCAGUGAGGAAUAUUGGUCAAUGGGAGAGAUCUUGAACCAGCCAAGCCGCGUGAGGGAAGACGGCCCUAUGGGUUGUAAACCUCUUUUGUCGGAGAACAAAACCCGGGACGUGUCCCGGACUGCGUGUAUCCGAAGAAAAAGCAUCGGCUAACUCCGUGCCAGCAGCCGCGGGAAUACGGAGGAUGCGAUCGUUAUCCGGAUUUAUUGGGUUUAAAGGGUGCGUAGGCGGUCCGUUAAGUCAGCGGUUAAAUUGCGGGGCGCAAACCC